This 497-nucleotide ribosomal RNA is filed under the name uncultured bacterium. RNAcentral describes it as "partial 16S ribosomal RNA". It matches the Rfam family "Bacterial small subunit ribosomal RNA", at positions 28 to 507 of the family's 1533-position model. The record is from RNAcentral.
GACGAACGCUGGCGGCGUGCCUAAUACAUGCAAGUUGAGCGAUGAAGAUUGGUGCUUGCACCAAUUUGAAGAGCAGCGAACGGGUGAGUAACGCGUGGGGAAUCUGCCUUUGAGCGGGGGACAACAUUUGGAAACGAAUGCUAAUACCGCAUAACAACUUUAAACAUAAGUUUUAAGUUUGAAAGAUGCAAUUGCAUCACUCAAAGAUGAUCCCGCGUUGUAUUAGCUAGUUGGUGAGGUAAAGGCUCACCAAGGCGAUGAUACAUAGCCGACCUGAGAGGGUGAUCGGCCACAUUGGGACUGAGACACAGCCCAAACUCCUACGGGAGGCAGCAGUAGGGGAUCUUCGGCAAUGGACGAAAGUCUGACCGAGCAACGCCGCGUGGGUGAAGAAGGUUUUCGGAUCGUAAAACUCUGUUGGUAGAGAAGAACGUUGGUGAGAGUGGAAAGCUCAUCAAGUGACGGUAACUACCCAGAAAGGGACGGCUAACUACGUG